RNAcentral lists this ribosomal RNA (1098 nucleotides) under Salmonella enterica subsp. enterica serovar Heidelberg. RNAcentral's name for it is "bacterial LSU rRNA". The stretch from base 127 to 1098 matches the Rfam family "Bacterial large subunit ribosomal RNA", at positions 1 to 1281 of the family's 2925-position model. Lineage: Bacteria; Pseudomonadati; Pseudomonadota; Gammaproteobacteria; Enterobacterales; Enterobacteriaceae. The record is from RNAcentral.
GCGAGGGGAGUGAAAAAGAACCUGAAACCGUGUACGUACAAGCAGUGGGAGCCCCACCACCAAAGCAUUCUCUGGUGUUGAAGGCCCUGCAAAGCAGCAUCGCGGUGGCGGAGCGUCGUUUGCGACGCCCAACACACAAAACAAGCGGUGAAUGCUUUGGGCGAGGGGAGUGAAAAAGAACCUGAAACCGUGUACGUACAAGCAGUGGGAGCCCCACCACUAAGCCAGUGGUGAACUCCACAUACGCAUCCUUUGCUGAGGAUACGGUUAACGGAGCGAAAGCGACGUUCAACCGCAAAAGAAGCAGAGGGGGCUUAGUGGUGGGGUGACUGCGUACCUUUUGUAUAAUGGGUCAGCGACUUAUAUUCUGUAGCAAGGUUAACCGAAUAGGGGAGCCGGAGGGAAACCGAGUCUUAAUUGGGCGUUAAGUUGCAGGGUAUAGACCCGAAACCCGGUGAUCUAGCCAUGGGCAGGUUGAAGGUUGGGUAACACUAACUGGAGGACCGAACCGACUAAUGUUGAAAAAUUAGCGGAUGACCUGUGGCUGGGGGUGAAAGGCCAAUCAAACCGGGAGAUAGCUGGUUCUCCCCGAAAGCUAUUUAGGUAGCGCCUCGUGAAUUCAUCUCCGGGGGUAGAGCACUGUUUCGGCUAGGGGGCCAUCCCGGCUUACCAACCCGAUGCAAACUGCGAAUACCGGAGAAUGUUAUCACGGGAGACACACGGCGGGUGCUAACGUCCGUCGUGAAGAGGGAAACAACCCAGACCGCCAGCUAAGGUCCCAAAGUCAUGGUUAAGUGGGAAACGAUGUGGGAAGGCCCAGACAGCCAGGAUGUUGGCUUAGAAGCAGCCAUCAUUUAAAGAAAGCGUAAUAGCUCACUGGUCGAGUCGGCCUGCGCGGAAGAUGUAACGGGGCUAAACCAUGCACCGAAGCUGCGGCAGCGAACGUAUCACCCAAGACAACUUUACGGAGUUGACGAUUGACGGAGCGAAGCGACGUCAAAGCGUUCAUUAAAGUCGAGUUGGCUUAGGGAUACGUUCGUUGGGUAGGGGAGCGUUCUGUAAGCCUGUGAAGGUGUGUCGUGAGGCAUGCUGGAGGUA